AUUUAUAAAGACUGUUUGUUUUUUUUUUCUUUCCCUGCCUUAGGAAGAAGAUCAGUUUUUAACAGGUUACUAGUCAGCCUAGUAAUGUUUAAGAGAAAACAGACUCAUUACGCUGACCAAAAGGUGAAAAAACAGUGAGUGACUUUGUUUAGGCUUGUUGAAGAUCACAAAAGUUGGUGGAUUACAGUUACUACAAAGCCAGAGGGAAAAAUUGCACAAUGUUUUCUGUCAUCCAUCCUCCUUCUCAUAGAGAAGAUAAAAGACCAGUACCAUGACAGACCACUUUCCAAGGAUGGAGAGGAAAGGAAAAUCAUAGGAAAGACCUUUCUGAUUAGCUUAUCUCAUUAAGACCUGGAAUAAGUAUGAUGCAUGUUUUACAAUGCUCUAACUGAAUUAUGUUCAUAGUUGGGGUAUUUACACGUGCUAUUUAGGCUCUGUAGGACUUGGUCAUGUGUAAAUCUCUACAGCAACUUUUACCAACAUCACAGCUCUUCUAUGGGAUCUCCUCUCUCAGCUUUCACA
This 522-nucleotide long non-coding RNA is filed under the name Struthio camelus australis. RNAcentral's name for it is "lncRNA (ENSSCUG00000006455.1)". Lineage: Eukaryota; Metazoa; Chordata; Aves; Struthioniformes; Struthionidae. The record is from RNAcentral.